UACGUAGGUCCCGAGCGUUAUCCGGAUUUAUUGGGCGUAAGGCGAGCGCAGGCGGUUAGAUAAGUCUGAAGUGAAAGGCUGUGGCUUAACCAUAGUAUGCUUUGGAAACUGUUUAACUUGAGUGCAGAGGGGGAGAGUGGAAUUCCAUGUGUAGCGGUGAAAUGCGUAGAUAUAUGGAGGAACACCAGUGGCGAAGGCGACUCUCUGGUCCGUAACUGACGCUGAGGCUCGAAAGCGUGGGGAGCAAACAGG
Molecule: ribosomal RNA, 252 nt
Filed under: uncultured bacterium
Lineage: Bacteria
Description: partial 16S ribosomal RNA
Rfam family: Bacterial small subunit ribosomal RNA
Source: RNAcentral